Molecule: long non-coding RNA, 4300 nt
Filed under: Mytilus galloprovincialis (Mediterranean mussel)
Lineage: Eukaryota; Metazoa; Mollusca; Bivalvia; Mytilida; Mytilidae
Source: RNAcentral
CCCGAAUAAUCCAGUCGUUAUAUUACGAUCACUUCGAUCACUCCAUUAACCAUUUCCUCGAGAAAAGUAGUGGAUAGGGGCGCUGAAUUAUUCGAGUUAGUACAUGGAGGAAAGAUAUUCAAAGAUUAGGAGCGACGAUUCAAUAGCCAUUUGUGUAUUGUAUUUGUCGUGGUUGAAACGGCACCAGGAACAUAUCAGGAUAGACAACAAAAGUCUGUAAGUAUCUAUUUUAUGUAUUUAUAAAUAUUAACAUAGAUAUUAUAAGCCUUUCAUGCCUUCUGUUGACAAAUUUUCUUAACUAUGCACUUUUUUAGUAGACCACCGAUGUCCUUUUCGAACUAAAAGAACCUCUUUGAAAAGACACACCUCAGUCGAAUCUUUCUUCUCAAAUGAAUGCCUGAAUGGUCAUCAAAUUUAUACUUGUUAUGGGCAGGCAUUUUCGAAUAAUUUUUAAAAAAAAUGUAUUAAUUCUGACUGCAAGGAAUUUUAAAUGGUAAAUAAUAUACAUUGUAUCUCGAGGGAAAUGUACACACUUAGACAACAGUGAAUUUUUCAUAAAUAUUAUAUAAUGGUAAAAGUGUAGCAUACACAUGAUAUAUAUCAUGUGUAUUAACGAUUAAACUCUGGAAGAAAUAUAGUCCAGCAUGAAUACAAAUUAAUGGGUCCUAUUCAGAAAAAAAAAUUUCUCAGAAAGGUAUCUCUUUCUUCAGAGGUUUAUAUGAAACGUUGAUGUCUGUUGUGCAGUGAUUUUUUUUUUUUCCGCCUGUAUGCGAGACAUGGCAUGGUAGGUAUUGCAACCAAGCAACGGCGGCGACGAUGGUGUACACUCUUUGUUUGAAGCAUUAUAUUUCAUAGGUUAGACAAUCUAAAUGUUUCAUACGAUAUGUUACGAAAUUUCCGUCUGUCAUAUAUCAUUGUCCCGGCAACCUCAUUUUCAUGGUUCAGUAACUGCUUGAUACAUUUUGUUUUGUUAAAUGAAAAACUCACUUAUUAUGAGUAAUAUGAUAACUAUGUUUGGUAUAUGGGUUCCUAGCAACAUUUACAUGUUCGUCAGGUAGGUACAUGUAGGGUUAACCUGACCUCGACCUUAUUCCAUGGAUCAUUUAUCAAAGAUAAAGUAACUUAAGCAAGACUGUAUCUAGAUACUAUAACUAGUCAGUCAUCUAUAUUUGCUGUAUUGAUUAUUGAAAUGAUUGUAAGCUGUACAUAUCCACCCGAUAGGUUUCGUCUGACCUUGGCCUCAAUUUCAUAGUUCAUUGGCCGAUGUAUAGUGUUGUGGUUUGGUCUAUUUCUCAGAUGCCUUAAGCAGUAGGGUCACUAUAUACUGUGUAUCAUGUAUGGAAUCAUUGUCAGCUGGAAAUGUCCGUCUGACAGGUCUCAAUUGACUGCGACCUCAUUUUUAUGGUUCAUUGGACAAUUUUUAGUUGUGUGGUUGGGUCAAUUUUUCGGGCAUUAUAAGCAAUAGGUCAAUAAUAUGUAGUGUAUGGAACAACCAUGACAACUGUGGUGUCAUGUCUAUCUGUCGGGGUUAACAUGACCUUAACCUAAUUGUUUGAUGAUAAGAUGUUGUAUUAAGAUCUGAUUCUCAGGUACUAUUAGCAACACCAGAACACACCCACAAAAUCGCGGUCAUAUACAGCUUGUGAACUGGGAUGAUUUUUUGUAUUAAAAAGAUAUUAUGUAUGGAGAAUUUCAUAAAAAGGUAUCAAAAGCCCUCUCCCUUUUUUCAAAGUCUGAUAUUUGUUUCCUUUCUGUUAAAUUCAUAUUUUUUUGUGUCUCUGGUCUCAGACCACAAUUAUUCUUCUCCUUUGCUACAAUGCAUCUUUUGGUAAAAUUUGCACCGCUCCAAACAUGAAAUAAAUGUAACUGCUUAUAUUUAGACCAUAUUAGUCUAAUAAAAUAUGCUUCUAUGACAAUCCAUCAGUGCUUUUUCUUUUGAGGGCAUUAUUAACAUGCCAAUGGUAGGAUAUGAAUCUUGUAUAUAUGACUGACCGACUAAGGCUAAUUUGAGGGGUGGUCGGAGGGGUCCUGAUCCCGAAAUCCCGGGCUUAAAAACAUGAAAUCCCGAGAUGCAGAAUUUAAAGAAAUUCAUAUCCCGAAAUCGAAAAAUAUAUUCCCGGAUCCCGCAAGGGUCAAUCCCCAAAUCCCGAGGUCCCGAAAAAGUCCUGAUUCCCUCUUAUCCCUACCCUACUUUCUUUUUUGCCAACUCACUACUUUCAAUUUCAACAAUAAAUUUUAUGCCCCAUUUUUUGGCAUUGUGUUUUCCAGUCUGCGAAUCUGUGCGUUCGUUCGUUUGUUCGUCCUCUGUUCGUCUGUCCCAUGUCAUACAUUGUAGUGCAAUGUUAAGUUAAGUAAAACCUCCAUACUAAAGACUUUCAACAUGAUUUGAAUGAUAAGUAAGAAAAAGGCGAGACAUUUGCACUCAUAUUUUGGUAAUAAAAUGUGUAAAGUGUUGACAAAAGUACAUGUACCUAAAUUUCAAUAUAUUUUUGUAUCAGAGUGCCGAAGGCGCAUCUUUAACAUUUUGAGAGGAAAAUGGAUAUUUUGUUGAAGGGGGGAAUGUGUUGGGUACAUUACUUAUACUUUUACCUGAGGAAGCUGCUGUUCUUUUUGAAACAUGUCUUACUUGUUUUCUGGUAUGUUGAAUGGGUAGGUAAAAGUAUUGUCAACACCAGUCCUGUGUUUUGUUUAAAACUUAAUGAAACCUGUUUUUAAUUGUAAUUUGUGUCUUCAGUUCGCUGUCUCCUAGGCAUGAACCAUUCAUCUGUUUUAAGACUCUAUGAUUGAUUGAUUGAUUGAUCAUGACUGGCUGAAUGUCCAAUGGCAAAUAUUACAUGCAUAUUCAGGAAGUUGGGAACGAUUCAUGCCAAUCCUGAUAAAAAAUAAAGAAAUAUGCCUGAAGAAAAACAAUAACAGAGUAAGUGUUCCUGCAUUUUAACUUCAAAUAUUUCUUGUAGAGUGAGAAAAAUGUUAUGAAACACCAGCAAAAAAGAUUAGAUUGUUAUUCAGUCCUGACUUAUACAGUGUUUCUGAAGAUGGAGAUUAGGUAUGUAAUAAUGAGUUUUUAAUUUGAUAGAGUGUUGACUUUUAAAUUGUAAAAGUUUAAUGAGUUACUGUACGUUAAUCCCUUUAUUGUAUAAAAAUUCAACAAUUGAAAUUUAUUGUAUUAAAAAUUCAACUCACAUUGCUGUUCAAGUGCAUAGCAUAGCCAUCUUUAUCUUGCUGUAUCCAGAGGCAAUAUAUAUAUAUAAGAAGAUGUGGUGGUAUGGGUGCCAAUGAGACAACUCUCCAUCCAAGUCACAAUUUAUAAAAGUAAAUCAUCAUAGGUCAAAGUACGGACUUCAACACGGAGCAAGACUGUUAUUAAUGACAAUUAAGAGAGUGAAUAAUAUUAUAUAAACAAAAUAGACAUCAUAAUUAAAAGAAAGACAGACAGUUUCUUCAUCAAAUAUAAUAAAUUUUGGUAUGAUAACUAAAAAUGUUUGAAAUUGUUUUGAAUUUGUCGUUACUUCUUUCAGAUCAGGCCUAUCCAGAAGCAAGAAAAAGAACAAUUCAUAGCACGUACAUCUACAGAGAGAGACAUGUUUUAAAAAACAGAUUUAUUUUCAAUUUUAGAAAAACCUGUUGAACUUUUACUAUUUCUUAUCUGUUUAUUUUACAUUUAUAUGUUGAUAUUUUUUUUUUUUAAAUUGCUGCACAGUAAUUCUAUUCAGUCCCAUAUAACAAAAUCAGCUAAAGAAAUUGAUAUUUUCAUAUUUCAAGGGAGUGUCCUUUUGCAUUGUUGAUAGCAGAUAUAAGUAUUGUCUUAAGUUGGGUUUAAAAACAGUCAGAUCGCAACUUCAAAUAAAAUACAUUUUUAUGAAUGUUAUAUGUCAUUAAAUAGACAUGAAAGAUGGAAAAUUAUAUAGGAACACAUUUUUUAUGACCUAAAUGUAUUGUCAAGGUAAAUUUAUUAUUUGAACAUAUCAAAUAUUAUCAAAAACACUGCUGGUUUAAAAUAAAAUUAUUCUAUGUAGCCUAAUGUAAUCAUACAGAUCAGUGUAUUUUUUCCUAAACAAAUUUUACAUAUUUUUAUAACCAGAAUAAAUUUAUUCUGUGUCUCAACCUUAACAUAAUUACUGUACUAUCAAAAUAAAUUUAUUUUAUAUAUCAUAAUACUUUUAAUCCACAUUGAAUGUAGAAUAAAUUUAUUCUGUGUCGCCUCCUUAAUAUGAUAACUGUACUUUCAGAAUAAAUUUAUUUUAUAUAUUAUUAUACAAGACAAAAAUCACAUUGAACAUAGAAUAAAUUUAUUCUGUGU